Vespa mandarinia (Asian giant hornet) is the source of this 1192-nucleotide long non-coding RNA. NCBI's taxonomy places the organism in Eukaryota, Metazoa, Arthropoda, Insecta, Hymenoptera, Vespidae. The record is from RefSeq and is a predicted model, not a curated record.
GCAAGGAGAGUGGAAUAAGGAGAAGGAGAGAGAGAGAGAGGAGAGAGAGAGAGAGAGAGAGAGAGAGAGAGAAAAGGAGAAACUUUCGCGUCAACGGAAUUUGAGUUUUCCGUUGGAAUCGUAAAUCCCGGAUCUACUUAGACGAGGGCGCGAGACGCGCGUCGUUUAAACUUGGCACGAGGCAUCAUAAGCGACGACGAAUACCACCGAACACGUUGGAGAUGAUUUCGUUCAGAGCAUUCGCCUGGAUUGACCACUACGAUGAUCGCUUCGAUCGCGAUCGAACUAAGAACACGACGUUCAUUCGGAUGGAAACGAUAACAAGGAGGAAACGCGGAAGAAGCACUAACGUAAGAACGGACGGACGAGAAAUCUACCGAGAGAUCUAUCGGAGAUCUACCGAGAGAUCGAGGGACGGAUGGGUCGUCGACUAGUCACCACCCACAACUCGCCAGUGACUGAUUCCACCAUAGCCGUAUAAUGUGCCGCCGUGUGGUAUACCCCGGUAAGGACUAUCACUUCUCCCACCAGAGAGCGGAACAGCCACCGUAUAAAGCACGACUUUUAACCGGGAUGCCUUCGUCCCUCCUGGUGGUAGCAACGGAACGAACGCGCCUUCUCUCUCCGUAACGAUGACCCCUCCUCGCACGCUUCUUUUCUUUUACGUAUUCCCCCAACUACCUUUUCUUUUCCUCCUACCCGACACGAUCCUACGAAAUUAUCGGCUCUACGUUUAUAGCGCUUUAACGUUCCAACGAAUCUAUCGACUACCGCGCGUUCUUCUUCUUCUUUCGCCUAGUCUUUCUCUUGGUACAAGAUCUUUUUUCCUAUAUCCAUAUCGAAUAAAAACAAAAAUAUCAAUAUCACAACGUCCGAUCGUUUCUUGGUACGAAGGUCAGUCGAGUUUACCAGAUCGAAAUGAUUUGGCUCGAUGUGGAAAAAUAUUUUCAAGAAAAAGGCCUGCUGCCGCUAAGGUAAAAGUCUACGACGAUUACGAUAACGAAACGUUUCUUGCACGAUGUCGCAAUAAAACACCGACGGUAUAAAGAAAUAUUACCAAGAGGCGCUAACAUUGUCCGACGACGAAUUACUUGCUGCGUAGCAAACAUCCUUAUAUUAGUUGUUUGAUCUUCGUGGAAUCUUACAAAAAAUAAUUAAUAAUUAUUUUUCGCUAUAUUAUUCUAAAACUUUA